CUACGGGACGCAGCAGUGAGGAAUCUUGCGCAAUGGGGGAAACCCUGACGCAGCGACGCCGCGUGGGUGAUGAAGGCCUUCGGGUCGUAAAGCCCUGUCGAGAGGGAAGAAUUGCAUUUAGGUUAAUAGCCUAAUUGUUUGACGGUACCUCCAAAGGAAGCACCGGCUAACUCCGUGCCAGCAGCCGCGGUAAUACGGAGGGUGCAAGCGUUGUUCGGAAUCACUGGGCGUAAAGGGCGUGUAGGCGGCUGAGUAAGUCAGGUGUGAAAUCCCUCGGCUCAACCGAGGAAGUGCAUUUGAUACUGCUCAUCUUGAGGACUGGAGAGGGAGAUGGAAUUCCCGGUGUAGAGGUGAAAUUCGUAGAUAUCGGGAGGAACACCAGUGGCGAAGGCGAUCUCCUGGACAGAUACUGACGCUAAGGCGCGAAAGCGUGGGGAGCAAACAGGAUUAGAUACCCUAGUAGUC
RNAcentral lists this ribosomal RNA (465 nucleotides) under uncultured bacterium. Its description in RNAcentral is "partial 16S ribosomal RNA". It matches the Rfam family "Bacterial small subunit ribosomal RNA", at positions 339 to 795 of the family's 1533-position model. The record is from RNAcentral.